This 253-nucleotide ribosomal RNA is filed under the name uncultured bacterium. Its description in RNAcentral is "partial 16S ribosomal RNA". It matches the Rfam family "Bacterial small subunit ribosomal RNA", at positions 524 to 776 of the family's 1533-position model. The record is from RNAcentral.
UACGGAGGGUGCAAGCAUUAAUCGGAAUGAUUGGGCGUAAAGGGCGCGUAGGCGGAUUAGAAAGUUAGAUGUGAAAUUCUGAAGCUCAACUUCAGAGCGGCAUUUAAAACUCCUAGUCUCGAGGUAUGAAGGAGAAAACGGAAUUCCACGUGUAGCGGUGAAAUGCGUAGAUAUGUGGAAGAACACCGGUGGCGAAAGCGGUUUUCUAUUUAUAACCUGACGCUGAGGCGCGAGAGCAAGGGGAGCAAACAGG